RNAcentral lists this ribosomal RNA (651 nucleotides) under Macrobrachium callirrhoe. RNAcentral's name for it is "eukaryotic LSU rRNA". It matches the Rfam family "Eukaryotic large subunit ribosomal RNA", at positions 87 to 535 of the family's 3401-position model. Lineage: Eukaryota; Metazoa; Arthropoda; Malacostraca; Decapoda; Palaemonidae. The record is from RNAcentral.
GGGCGACUGAAAGGGGAUGAGCCCAGCGCAUAACCUGCCGGUCUUGUUGUGGCCGUGCAGGGGUGUUGCGUUUCGGUGGAUCCGUACCGCUCGAGUUGCUGACCGCCUAAGUCAUUGCUUGAAUGCAGCCCCGAGGAGGGUGGUAGGCCCGUGUGGCGGCGCCUGUAAAAAGGUUUAGAGCAACUUGGGCGGAGGGGUCUUUACCGUAGAGUCGGGUUGCUUAGUACUGCAGCCCUAAGUAGGUGGUAAACUCCAUCUAAGGCUAAAUACUACCACGAGUCCGAUAUUUGACAAGUACCGUGAGGGAAAGCUGAAAAGGACUCUGAAGAGAGAGUUCAAGAGGACGUGAAACCAUUAGAAGCUUAAACGGGUGGAACCGUGAAGGCGGAAAGAGGGGAUUCAGGCCGUGGGCGGACGCGCUAGGCUGGAGGUUGGCUAGCGUGAGAGGACCCGGCUAACUAGUGAGUUGCCGCGGCCCCUUUUGCCGGGUGCGUUGGCCGGCGGGCUUAUUUCUCCCUCGAGUACUGUACGUGGCGAGCCGCUGGCCGGAUGCCGAGGGCCCCUGGGGACUGGUAGCCUGCACCUUUGGUGUGGGUGACGACCCUUUGGGGUACUGUGUGCGUUUGGCCGGCGGUAACUGCGAGNAGGUGC